AGCCUUGUAUUCAUUUAUGUGAUUAUAGAAUGCAAUUCUGUAGGGGUUAGUUGAAAAGACUUACCAAGGCCU
RNAcentral lists this transfer RNA (72 nucleotides) under Procapritermes martyni. RNAcentral's name for it is "tRNA-Cys". The record is from RNAcentral. RNAcentral also lists the same sequence under 1 other name. Lineage: Eukaryota; Metazoa; Arthropoda; Insecta; Blattodea; Termitidae.